AGUGAACGCUGGCGAUAGGCCUAACACAUGCAAGUCGAACGGCAGCACAGUAAGAGCUUGCUCUUACGGGUGGCGAGUGGCGGACGGGUGAGGAAUACAUCGGAAUCUACUUUUUCGUGGGGGAUAACGUAGGGAAACUUACGCUAAUACCGCAUACGACCUACGGGUGAAAGCAGGGGAUCUUCGGACCUUGCGCGAUUGAAUGAGCCGAUGUCGGAUUAGCUGGUUGGCGGGGUAAAGGCCCACCAAGGCGACGAUCCGUAGCUGGUCUGAGAGGAUGAUCAGCCACACUGGAACUGAGACACGGUCCAGACUCCUACGGGAGGCAGCAGUGGGGAAUAUUGGACAAUGGGCGCAAGCCUGAUCCAGCCAUACCGCGUGGGUGAAGAAGGCCUUCGGGUUGUAAAGCCCUUUUGUUGGGAAAGAAAAGCAGCAGGUUAAUACCCCGCUGUUCUGACGGUACCCAAAGAAUAAGCACCGGCUAACUUCGUG
This 492-nucleotide ribosomal RNA is filed under the name uncultured bacterium. RNAcentral's name for it is "partial 16S ribosomal RNA". It matches the Rfam family "Bacterial small subunit ribosomal RNA", at positions 29 to 507 of the family's 1533-position model. The record is from RNAcentral.